GAGGAAGACGAGGUGGCGCCGGAGGCCCCCUCCCGGGACGUCCCCGAGGCGGGCGAGCGUAGGGUUUUGGAGGAGGAUUACGGUGAUGAGGCUAGGGUUUCUGAAUUCCCCAAGAAGGAUGCCGAGGUCGCCGAGGAGGCGGGGGACGGCGAUCCGUUCCUCGGAGGUGGGGCUAGAGAGAGUAUGGGGAUCGGCGAUCUGGAUCAGGCCCCGGUCAUUCCCGGACUCUCGGCUGGUCCGGCCCCUCCGGGACCUUUUCUUGAUAUGGAUGGCGGCGACGUGAAGGCAUCGAGGAGCGAAGAUUGGGACACUGAUAGCGAGGAUGAUCUGCAGAUCGUCCUGAAUGAC
This 348-nucleotide long non-coding RNA is filed under the name Elaeis guineensis (African oil palm). RNAcentral describes it as "long non-coding RNA (EGUI_LNC028693)". The record is from RNAcentral. Lineage: Eukaryota; Viridiplantae; Streptophyta; Magnoliopsida; Arecales; Arecaceae.